RNAcentral lists this ribosomal RNA (501 nucleotides) under uncultured bacterium. Its description in RNAcentral is "partial 16S ribosomal RNA". It matches the Rfam family "Bacterial small subunit ribosomal RNA", at positions 30 to 523 of the family's 1533-position model. The record is from RNAcentral.
AUUGAACGCUGGCGGCAGGCUUAACACAUGCAAGUCGAGCGGGGAAGGUUGCUUUGGUCACUGACCUAGCGGCGGACGGGUGAGUAAUGCUUAGGAACCUGCCUAUUAGUGGGGGACAACAUUCCGAAAGGAAUGCUAAUACCGCAUACGACCUACGGGGGAAAGCAGGGGAUCUUCGGAUCUUGCGCGAAUAGAUGAGCCGCAGUCGGAUUAGCUAGUUGGUGGGGUAAAAGCCUACCAAGGCGACGAUCUGUAGCGGGUCUGAGAGGAUGAUCCGCCACACUGGGACUGAGACACGGCCCAGUCUCCUACGGGAAGCAGCAGUGGGGAAUAUUGGACAAUGUGCGGAAGCCUGAUCCAGCCAUGCCGCGUGUGUGAAGAAGGCCUUUUGGUUGUAAAGCACUUUAAGCGAGGAGGAGGCUCCUUUAGUUAAUACCUAAAGAGAGUGGACGUUACUCGCAGAAUAAGCACCGGCUAACUCUGUGCCAGCCGCCGCCGUAA